This is a long non-coding RNA of Mytilus californianus (California mussel), 580 nucleotides long. RefSeq lists it as uncharacterized. The record is from RefSeq and is a predicted model, not a curated record. NCBI's taxonomy places the organism in Eukaryota, Metazoa, Mollusca, Bivalvia, Mytilida, Mytilidae. The transcript is spliced from 3 exons.
AACUACAACAAACAUACACAACACAUAUGCGCAGAUUAGACAAAAUAUAUUCCUCGACAAAGUUAGGCGUACUUUUUUGCGUACUUGCAGUGAUAUUUUUAAAAUGAAUCUCGUUGUGGUGUUGUUGAACAUGUUUCUUUUUGCAAUCUUCAUUAUAAGCUGUAUCAAUGGAUUGGAUUAUGCAUCCUUUGACAAAACAGCACAUUCCUACUGCGCAAGUCAUUCAAAUGGUCACGUGUUUGUUUUGAGAAGGGAUUGUGAGAAAACUACAAAGGACUGCAAAGCAAUGUGUUCAGAUGCAAAAAAUGCAAUAGUUGGCACAAUUUACCAUAAGAAAGACACAGUUGUCUGCUUCGAUGCUUACAAAGUUUACACAGACCAAUAUAAUUCCAGUGAUGUUAUGCAGACUACUGGUUUAGUUGGCUUCCAUACCUAUGGGUUCGGUCCAAGAGGGUGCACUGGAUCACCAGAUCACUGUGGACCGAACUACUGUUGUUGUGUGGCAUAUUAGAGGAACUUCUGAAUUGUCUAGUGUAAAAAGACCUUCAAAUGUGUUAUACAAAUAAAAGAAGCUUUAGCA